This 504-nucleotide ribosomal RNA is filed under the name uncultured bacterium. Its description in RNAcentral is "partial 16S ribosomal RNA". It matches the Rfam family "Bacterial small subunit ribosomal RNA", at positions 30 to 523 of the family's 1533-position model. The record is from RNAcentral.
AUUGAACGCUGGCGGCAGGCCUAACACAUGCAAGUCGAACGGUAGCACAGAGAGCUUGCUCUCGGGUGACGAGUGGCGGACGGGUGAGUAACGUCUGGGAAACUGCCCGAUGGAGGGGGAUAACUACUGGAAACGGUAGCUAAUACCGCAUAACGUCGCAAGACCAAAGUGGGGGACCUUCGGGCCUCACACCAUCGAAUGUGCCCAGAUGGGAUUAGCUAGUAGGUGGGGUAAUGGCUCACCUAGGCGACGAUCCCUAGCUGGUCUGAGAGGAUGGCCAGCCACACGGGAACUGAGACACGGUCCAGACUCCUACGGGAGGCAGCAGUGGGGAAUAUUGCACAAUGGGCGCAAGCCUGAUGCAGCCAUGCCGCGUGUAUGAAGAAGGCCUUCGGGUUGUAAAGUACUUUCAGCGGGGAGGAAGGCGGUGAAGUUAAUAGCUUCACCGAUUGACGUUACCCGCAGAAGAAGCACCGGCUAACUCUGUGCCAGCCGCCGCAGUAA